This is a small RNA of Indibacter alkaliphilus LW1, 47 nucleotides long. It matches the Rfam family "Acido-Lenti-1 RNA". The record is from Rfam. NCBI's taxonomy places the organism in Bacteria, Pseudomonadati, Bacteroidota, Cytophagia, Cytophagales, Cyclobacteriaceae.
CCUCGGGUUGAAACCCGAGGCUAUUAUAUCUGCGCCCUUACAGGGCU